RNAcentral lists this long non-coding RNA (909 nucleotides) under Drosophila guanche. The record is from RNAcentral. Lineage: Eukaryota; Metazoa; Arthropoda; Insecta; Diptera; Drosophilidae.
ACCAAACACCCCAUGCUUUUACCAAAUAAUCAUAUUGUUGUAAAAUCAUUGUUUGAAUAUACGCAUCGAAGCAACAUGCAUGUCGGAGCACAAGCGUUAUGUGCUUUUGUCCGACAGCGUUUUUGGGUCAUCAAUGCUAGAAAACUAGCUCCCAGCACGAUAAGGAGUUGCAUUGCAUGUUUUCGCCAACGUCCAAUAUUAGCUACGCAAAUUAUGGGUUCCUUACCAGCAAGCCGAGUGCAGCAAGGAGUGAAGGCCUUUGAACGUACUGGACUCGACUACGCUGGACCGCUAUGGAUGCACUUCAACCAAAGAGGACGGCGGCCUAUCAAGGUUUAUCUGUGCGUUUUUGUGUGCUUUUUGAGCAAGGCUUGCCAUCUAGAGCUUGUAUCAGACCUGAGCACCAACGCAUUUUUAGGCGCACUCAAACGAUUUUUUGCUCGGCGUGGGAUCAGCGCAGAGCUGUUCUGUGACAAUGCCACCAAUUUUGUUGGUGCUUCACGGGAGCUGAAGGCAAUAGCGGAUUUGAUCUGGAAUGACAGUGGCAAGCACCAAAUUGUGGAUCAGUGCAGCCAACUCGGUGUCAAUUUUCAUUUUAUCCCACCUCGAUCGCCGCAUUUUGGAGGACUAUGGGAGAGCGCAGUAAAGGUAGCGAAGCAAUUGUUGGUGCGAAGUUUCAAUAGCACAGCGCUUAACUACGAGGAACUGGUCACGGCGAUAGCACAAGCAGAGGCAGUGAUGAACUCACGACCGCUUCACCCACUUUCGUCGGACAGUAAUGACUACGAGGCAUUGACGCCGGGUCAUUUCUUAAUUGGUCGACCAUUGAACUGCAUGCCUGAGCCAUUUGAUGAGGACAUUUUGAAGUUAUCUGCUGCUAAUCGAUGGAAAAGAAUCGUCGCAGUACAC